ACCAGGGGAAAUGUGCUCGUGUUCCUGGAAAUCCCCGAGAGGCCAGAGAGAAAUCAGCAAGGCCACGGCCAAGGCGGUGACGUUGGUUACCAUCUCGGGGCGGGUUUAAGGGGCACUUCCCAACUGCAGCCCUGAGACACCCGAAAAGCAGUCACUGGAAUACCAAGCGGCAUAGACUUGCCUUGGAUGGGGGAGGGUGACCCCCCGCCUCGGAGUCCUGUCUGUCCACAGUUUUCUCCUUCGGAUCUGAGUCAUCAUUCCGCAAAGCUGGAAAAGUGACCCAGAAGACUUCAUUGCAUUUGAAACUGCAGGGGAAGGAGGUUUCUACCCUGUUUCCAUGGAUAGUCUGUCUUUCCCCCAAAGGAGCGAACGGCAGUCUGGCUGCAAUUCCAGGAGGCUGACAAGGACUUCUUUACCCAUGGGCCAGGUGUCUACACUGCUGACAAGGACUUCUUUACCCAUGGGCCAGUCCAGUUCUGGUAUGAUUUCAGCAUGAUUGAGACAUGGCUUGGAUGAACAGUCUCCCUCGGGGCGCCCUUCCCUUCACCCCUUGUCUGUUGGACUGCUCACGUGUCCGGGGUAAGGAGAAGGCUUGGGGUGGGCACCCAACUCACCAUCUGCUCCUCAGGCUGCAUCUGCCUCUGCAGGACCUCAGAUUCCCCGUGACGCUGCUGCCUUCCCGAAGACUCCUUUAUCCGGCAGAAGGUGCAACUCCACGGGCUCCUGAGAGGUCGGGCGUAAGUGAGCAAGGGCCAGGCCCCUGGAAACAGCCCCUGUUCCCACGGUGGCCACCGUCCUCCUUUCAGGCAUGGCCGGUGGACACAGCUGGGAGAUGAAGGGGACACCUCCCAGAGUCUCCAAGACCCCAUGUGGGGCCUGAGCCCACGACCCUCCUCCCAUCAAGGCUGGCAACAGGGGGCUCAGUGCGCGGAGGGCUGUGUCAGGGUGAGUGGUGGGCUCUCCUUUCCCCACCGGAGUUGCUGGGAGCACAAGGCGCCCUGCCUGUCACACCCAAGUGUCAAAACUGGGCCUUCAGCCCUGGGGAUCCAGGCCUCUAUCAGCCGCUGAGCCCGUGGUAAAAUGCAUGAACCAGGCCACGCUUCCUGCCUUUUCUGAAAAAGCACAGAACACAAACAGCUUGUGUCCCCACCUCUGUGAACAGGAGCCCAGGCUGGAAAACUUGUUGAAGCAGUGUGAAAGCAAGGGAUCCAGCCACCAGCCUCAGCAUCCCAGCCUAAGCAAAGAACAGCAUUCUCUCGUGCUACCAGUGUCUUUAAACAGCUCUCUGGAUCAUACUGCUGGACCCCGUACGUCCGACCCUGCUCUUUCUCUGCCUGGACACAUAGGUUCCUCCUAUGGCAGGGGGAAGGCUCCCUAACUGGGGUGGGGGGGACUUCAUCUCACAAACCUCUCAGUUUCCACAGGUGGGAUGUGACAGUCCUCAUGAAAAGAUCUGGAACAAGUAUCACAGCAGAACAGCUGUCCUCCAUCCCGGCACGUCUCACACACAUCGGAGUUUCCCAGCUAGAAGGCGAAAGAAUGUCCGUACCCCUGGUGAGACCCCAGCAGGCCACCGCGAUGGGAAUCUAGAAUUCGCUGCCUUUGUGUGAACCUGCCUGGACACAUUUAUGCUUCUCCCCGAGGGAUGAAGGAGCAGCAUAGAGUGGAGACUUCAGAAGAAAUUGCCAUCUGCAAUGCUGCUCGGGGUGGGGGUGGGGGGCUUGUGUGUCAUACCAGAAAAGUUCUUCCUAUAAAACCAGAGAUCCUAACACAGAAAGACUAGCAGAAAAACAAGAAGAUGAUGUUAUAGGAACCUGAAUAAUAUUAUCACCUUGCAGAUAAGACAAGUCCCCGAAAUAAAGUGUUAAAUGCAUUUGCCUAUACCGCAAGAAGACAGACUCACAGGCGAAAUAUUGAGAAUUUAAUAGACGGGAUAAACUCCCUAAUGUGGAAAGUGAUAGAAGAUGAAAAGACAUUCAUUAACAAUUAUUUUGAGUCUUGUUUUGGGCUUUUGGUGAAAAUGCUUGCGUUGGGUGAAUUGGGUUCUGGCUAUUUCUUUUGUUGUUAAAAAUGGCUAUGCAUGAAGAGCUGCUAGCCCCAGUGAACAUCUAGCCAAAUACUCCCAUUCGGUGUUCCAAGGGAUCCUCAAGGACACCUCCAAUUGUGGCUGAGACUGCUCUGGCACGGAGCCAUGGGGCCAUUUUUCUUCUCAUCAGUGCAGACACUCAUAGAUUACUAUCAUCAGUCUCCAGGAAGUGAUGACCCCUCUCCCCAGAAGGACAAGGAAAUAACAAAUACAACCAAUGUUUAAGACUCCCAUAUGUAUAGUUCUUAACAGAUACAUCUGCUUGCUUCUUAAUCCAGCUGCACACUAAAAUCAUCCAGGCAGAGUAUGUAAAAUACUAAUGUCUUGGUCCCAACACCAGAGAUACUAAAUCAAUUGGUCUGGGUGGGAGCAGCCAUUGGUAUUCUUUUUUAUUUUAUUUUAUUUUAUUUUAUUUUAUUUUAUUUUUUUAUUUUAUUUUAUUUUAUUUUAAAGAUUUUAUUUAUGCGACAGAGACAGAGAUA
Ailuropoda melanoleuca (giant panda) is the source of this 2568-nucleotide long non-coding RNA. RefSeq lists it as uncharacterized. Lineage: Eukaryota; Metazoa; Chordata; Mammalia; Carnivora; Ursidae. The record is from RefSeq and is a predicted model, not a curated record. The transcript has 2 exons.